Molecule: long non-coding RNA, 988 nt
Filed under: Homo sapiens (human)
Lineage: Eukaryota; Metazoa; Chordata; Mammalia; Primates; Hominidae
Description: long intergenic non-protein coding RNA 2175
Source: RNAcentral
GAGGCCCAGCGGCCCGAGACCAACUGGGCUGACCGAGGCCGCCUCCCCGCCAGCCCUGGGGUCCACUGCCCGGGGAGCAGCUCCCUUCCCAGGUCAGACUCGGGCUUCAUCCUCUCUUGCCGCGCGCCGAGCGGUUUUCAACUCUCACUGCUAGAAUUCCUCCAACCACCCAGGAUAGCAGGACCGAGAUACAUGGCCACCCAUGACCCGGAGCGUCCACUUCCAGGGACAGGCAGUGGUGAUUGGCUUCGGUUGUCAUCUGUGCCAUCUGUCCAUGGUUCGAGAAGCUGCUGUUCACGUUUUGGGGAGGAUCAUGGUUUGAGGGCUCCCGUGGUAGAAUUUGGGGAGCUCUCAUAGGCAGAAGGCUGAGAAAAGUUGGUGCUGUGGGAAGUCAACUGGCAGCCGAUGGAGUCGGGACCCGGGAGGAAUGGAAAGGGAACCCAGAUAGGAAGCUACUGCAGUAGGCUCAGAGAGGUGAUGACGGCAGGGCUAAGACAGCGGCCUUGGGCGGUGACUGGGAAGAACGUUGAACACCGUGUUUGGGCUGAAGAAAAGAGCAAGGGAAGAGAAAGCCAUUGCAAGAACCAGUGGAAUUUAAAGAUGGAUCAAAUUCCUGGGGAGUUGGAUCACUGGAUGCAUAAGGAAAUCCAAACUAAUAAGGAAAAAGUGAAAUAUUCAUUCCUUAGUUAUUGUUAUCUAUAAUAGCUAAAAUUAAAGUAAGAGUGCUGGAUUAAGCCUUGAGGCUGGACCAAGCUCAGAUGUGGGUCUGAGUUUAGAUCACUAGCCUCAAAGCCACCCACAAAAGAGGUAGUUUCUGGUGCCUCUUAGACCUGUGGUUUCCAAGAAGGUAGUCAAGGUAGGGAAGGGCAAAACGAAGUAACUACUGAAGCCAAAUGGUGUGAUGUGAAGGAAGUGUUCCCUUUUGUAGACUGGUAUCAUCAGCUUCCUUGAGGCACCUUUCCUAAUAAUGGAUUGUGAGAAUAACUAA